This 24-nucleotide non-coding RNA is filed under the name Cricetulus griseus (Chinese hamster). The record is from RNAcentral. Lineage: Eukaryota; Metazoa; Chordata; Mammalia; Rodentia; Cricetidae.
ACACUCACUGGGCUCCUGACUGGU